CCUACGGGCGGCAGCAGUGAGGAAUAUUGGUCAAUGGGAGAGAUCCUGAACCAGCCAAGCCGCGUGAGGGAAGACGGCCCUAUGGGUUGUAAACCUCUUUUGUCGGAGAACAAAACCCGGGACGUGUCCCGGACUGCGUGUAUCCGAAGAAAAAGCAUCGGCUAACUCCGUGCCAGCAGCCGCGGUAAUACGGAGGAUGCGAGCGUUAUCCGGAAUUACUGGGCGUAAAGGGCGCGUAGGUGGGCGCUUAAGUCAGGUGUGAAAACUCCGGGCUCAACCUGGAGACUGCACUUGAAACUGGGUGUCUUGAGGGCAGGAGAGGAAAGUGGAAUUCCUGGUGUAGCGGUGAAAUGCGUAGAUAUUAGGAGGAACACCAGUGGCGAAGGCGACUUUCUGGACUGUACCUGACGCUGAGGCGCGAAAGCGUGGGUAGCGAACGGGAUUAGAUACCCGGGUAGUC
Molecule: ribosomal RNA, 460 nt
Filed under: uncultured bacterium
Lineage: Bacteria
Description: partial 16S ribosomal RNA
Rfam family: Bacterial small subunit ribosomal RNA
Source: RNAcentral